Molecule: ribosomal RNA, 654 nt
Filed under: uncultured bacterium
Lineage: Bacteria
Description: bacterial SSU rRNA
Rfam family: Bacterial small subunit ribosomal RNA
Source: RNAcentral
AAAAGGCGGCGUAAGCUGUCGCUAAAGGAUGGACCCGCGGUGCAUUAGCUAGUUGGUAAGGUAACGGCUUACCAAGGCGACGAUGCAUAGCCGAGUUGAGAGACUGAUCGGCCACAUUGGGACUGAGACACGGCCCAAACUCCUACGGGAGGCAGCAGUAGGGAGUCUUCCACAAUGGGCGAAAGCCUGAUGGAGCAACGCCGCGUGAGUGAAGAAGGUUUUCGGACCGUAAAGCUCUGUUGUUGGUGAAGAAGGAUAGAGGUAGUAACUGGCCCCUAUUUGACGGUAAUCAACCAGAAAGUCACGGCUAACUACGUGCCAGCAGCCGCGGUAAUACGUAGGUGGCAAGCGUUGUCCGGAUUUAUUGGGCGUAAAGCGAGCGCAGGCGGAAAGAUAAGUCUGAUGUGAAAGCCCCCGGCUUAACCGAGGAAUUGCAUCGGAAACUGUGUUUCUUGAGUGCAGAAGAGGAGAGUGGAACUCCAUGUGUAGCGGUGGAAUGCGUAGAUAUAUGGAAGAACACCAGUGGCGAAGGCGGCUCUCUGGUCUGUAACUGACGCUGAGGCUCGAAAGCAUGGGUAGCGAACAGGAUUAGAUACCCUGGUAGUCCAUGCCGUAAACGAUGAGUGCUAAGUGUUGGGAGGUUUCCGCCUCUCA